This is a long non-coding RNA of Spodoptera frugiperda (fall armyworm), 794 nucleotides long. RefSeq lists it as uncharacterized. The record is from RefSeq and is a predicted model, not a curated record. The transcript is spliced from 3 exons. NCBI's taxonomy places the organism in Eukaryota, Metazoa, Arthropoda, Insecta, Lepidoptera, Noctuidae.
GCUCUGCGCUCGCGCCGCAUUCACUGUUUAGUUUGUUACCGUGUCAUAUCAUAUUGUAAUAUCGACCGGCGUGCGCGACUCUAUAUUUCCAAUUUAUUAUAAAAGCAAGUUUAUAAAAUUUAUUCAACGUUUUAAAAUCUAAAUCGUAACACAAGAUGGAUUCUAAUAACAAAAAUUCUUCUCAAAACCGAAAUACUGCUCAAACUUCCAACUACAGCCCGUGGAAUUUGUUAUUUACCUCAAGAAAUCGUACCAACAGUGAAACAAGUGUUAGUUCCACAAAUUCUCAAAGUAGCCAAACAGGUACUCAAUUUGGCGGACUACAAAGACAGACAAGCAAAGACGAAGAAUAUCUUUGGAUGAUGUGGCGUUCUUAAUUGCACGCGAACCGACAGCGGAGUCCGCAACCGGAGGAAUUGAACUUUUUAGUUUUUACGUUUAAUUGAUAAAGCAUUAUAAUUAUGCGUACAGAUACGCCUAGAUCGUACAAUUAGCGUAGAUAAUGUUCGAGCACGUGGCGUUACUCCCAGCGUGGUUUCUCAUGGCUUGGCUGGGAGCCUGUCUUCUCUUCAGUCCUUUCGCAUUAUUCUUCGUAAUGUGCUUACCCCAAUUACCCCUUCUAGUCGUAAGGAGGGCAUGCCAUAUACCAUUCGAGUAUAUUUGAUAAAGAAUGGGAAUGUGUGAUUUGAUGUGUGAUAGUCAUGUAUUUUAGAGUAUGAAUAUUAUAAUUUUAUUGAUAAGUUUGUAUAAAGUGUAAAUAUUUUAUAAUGAAUACAUUUUUAUUUUAUGCACUA